CAAAUACAUGGGAAAGCUGAUACUUUCUUUAGAUUCCUCUGUGAACACUGUGCGAACAUCACUUUGCACUUCGAUGAACGAGACCAUACGGUUAUUCCAGCCCCAGGGUCUGAGCUAAAACAGAGAGAAGCAGACAGACACACAAACACACCCAGAGAGAGAGAGAGGGAUGGGAAUCCGAGUCAACAGAUCAGGACAGCCCAUGCCUAAAUAAC
Molecule: long non-coding RNA, 215 nt
Filed under: Sinocyclocheilus anshuiensis
Lineage: Eukaryota; Metazoa; Chordata; Actinopteri; Cypriniformes; Cyprinidae
Description: lncRNA (ENSSANG00000000219.1)
Source: RNAcentral